Molecule: long non-coding RNA, 643 nt
Filed under: Vigna radiata
Lineage: Eukaryota; Viridiplantae; Streptophyta; Magnoliopsida; Fabales; Fabaceae
Description: long non-coding RNA (VRAD_LNC009349)
Source: RNAcentral
CUAUUUGUCGCAAAUUUUACCUGCGAAUACCUGUGUCCGCGGAUUUUACUUGCAGAUAUCCAUGUUCGCGGAUUUUUUUUGCUAUUCCUAAACCUCACAUACGUGCACGCACUUUGAAUGCCUUAUUCUUUUCUUAUAAUCAUACAGUUGGACUCGCCUCAUAACACAUUGACUUGUUUUAAUAAGUGAUACAAAAAAGAAACAUGGAGAAAGAGGAAGCAAGAUGAAGGGAGGCACAAUGUUGAGGAAGACAUGAUGUAGUAGGGGAGGUGUUGUGUGCAUGAGAGAAGGAGAAUAAGUGGAGGGUAGAGGGAGGAAGUGCAGCGCAAAUGGACAUUUCAAAUUAGGGUUUAACUAAAUAUUGAGUGAAUGGUAAAACGGAGAUAUUUGAAUUUAGGGGGUACAAGACAGAGAGAUGGGGGUUCUGGAAGAAGCCGCCUUCUAUCUAAUGCUGCCUCCUACUGCUCGCUCCACUUGGACAUUACUCAUCUCUACUAUGGACCUGGCCCACCAUAAGUGCUUCAAGACAGAAAAAAAAAUACAUGGCUUGCUUUACAUAACAUCGAGGUUAAGCAAUUUACAGUAUAAUUAUUGGUUCAAUUAAUAAAAGUGUCUGAAUAAUAUUUAGAUUCCUAAGGAAGUA